AGAAAUCAACCGAGAUUCCCCCAGUAGCGGCGAGCGAACGGGGAGCAGCCCAGAGUCUGAAUCAGCUUGUGUGUUAGUGGAACGGUCUGGAAAGUCCGACGGUACAGGGUGAUAGUCCCGUACACCAAAAUGCACAGGCUGUGAACUCGAAGAGUAGGGCGGGACACGUGGUAUCCUGUCUGAAUAUGGGGGGACCAUCCUCCAAGGCUAAAUACUCCUGACUGACCGAUAGUGAACCAGUACCGUGAGGGAAAGGCGAAAAGAACCCCGGCGAGGG
Molecule: ribosomal RNA, 277 nt
Filed under: Klebsiella pneumoniae
Lineage: Bacteria; Pseudomonadati; Pseudomonadota; Gammaproteobacteria; Enterobacterales; Enterobacteriaceae
Description: partial 23S ribosomal RNA
Rfam family: Bacterial large subunit ribosomal RNA
Source: RNAcentral